This 1038-nucleotide long non-coding RNA is filed under the name Olea europaea subsp. europaea. Lineage: Eukaryota; Viridiplantae; Streptophyta; Magnoliopsida; Lamiales; Oleaceae. The record is from RNAcentral.
AAGAAAACUAACACUGAAUAUAAGAAUUGUGGGUUGCAAAGAGCUUGUUCUUCUUUUUCUUUGCAGAAAGUUUUUCAUUGCAGGAGACUGCAAAUUGAUAUAGAGUUGUAUAUGUUUGCAAGAUAUAUAGUGGUUCGAUGUUAUUAACUGACAAAGGGUGUGGUGUGUGCAAUAUACAGAAAUAAAAUUCCCAGAAAUUCAAUAUCACACUGAUUUCUAAACGGAUUGGAAAUCACUUCCAAGAGAAAACAACUGGAAAUUUCAAGGCUGUCUUCUCUUCAUUGAACCACUGAAGGCUUUAAAUAGAUGAUUACAGAUAACUAAUUGACCCACUAACAUGCUAAAAAACCAGCUAAUUAACCCACUAACUUACUAAAAACCAGCAGAAAUUAAACCAUGAACUAAGAGCUAAACUGCAGAACACCCCAAGUACAUCAAGACCCAUGCAAUAAACUGAUAUAAUGGAGUUUGUGGGGGAAUUAGGCCCCAUUUGGUAGGGAUUUUUUGUCCCAAAAAAUUGAUUUUUUGACCGUUAUUUUACUAUUCAAACCGUAAUUUUUGACUUCUUUUCUCACAUAUAGACCCCACUUUUCUUCUAACGGUCAAAAAAUCAAUUCUCAAAAUCUCUACCAAACGGGCCCUUAAUCAGUUACUAAAGAUAAAAAUGCUAAUAAAUUCCACGUGUAUUUACAAGUCAGCUGCCAGUAGAUUCCAACUGAGAUCCCAAGUAGAAAGAGGACUUAGUCUUGCAUCAAUUGCUGCCCUCCUGAAGAACUUGUCUCCGACAAGUGUUGGUUGAGAUAGGUAUCCAGUAAUUCAGGAUUGAUACGUAAAAUUUCAUCUGCAUGUGACCAAGCAGAUUCUGAAACUGGUUUAUUGUUGUGAUUCUCCGAUCACGUGAAGAGAAAAUAAAAGAGGAAAAACAAUUCUAUUUCUACUUGAAUAGAAUUUACAAUGGAGUUUACAAACUCUCAAAAAAAACCUCUCAAAAGAGUCUCUAAUCUCUCUUUUAUUUCUCUCUUCUAUAUCCUAUUUUUC